UACGAAGGGGGCUAGCGUUGCUCGGAAUUACUGGGCGUAAAGGGCGCGUAGGCGGCACUGCAAGUCAGGCGUGAAAUUCCUGGGCUCAACCUGGGGACUGCGCUUGAGACUGUGGAGCUAGAGGAUGGAAGAGGGUCGUGGAAUUCCCAGUGUAGAGGUGAAAUUCGUAGAUAUUGGGAAGAACACCGGUGGCGAAGGCGGCGACCUGGUCCAUUACUGACGCUGAGGCGCGACAGCGUGGGGAGCAAACAGG
RNAcentral lists this ribosomal RNA (253 nucleotides) under uncultured bacterium. RNAcentral's name for it is "partial 16S ribosomal RNA". It matches the Rfam family "Bacterial small subunit ribosomal RNA", at positions 524 to 776 of the family's 1533-position model. The record is from RNAcentral.